Long non-coding RNA from Odocoileus virginianus texanus, 1765 nucleotides. RefSeq lists it as uncharacterized. The record is from RefSeq and is a predicted model, not a curated record. Lineage: Eukaryota; Metazoa; Chordata; Mammalia; Artiodactyla; Cervidae.
CAAAGAGUUGGACAUGACUGAGCAACUUUCACUCACUCACUCAGGAUGUACAGGUACAUGGAAGGGAGGUUCAUGAGCGAGGGGACAGCUGUAUACCUAUGGCUGAUUCAUGCUGAUGUAUAGCAGAGGCCAACACAAUAUUGUAAAGCAAUUAUCCUCCAAUUAAAAAAAAUAAGAAAAGAAAAAAAUAUAAGCUAGUUUUCUCCAUGGGUCUCCAUCACACUGAGGAUACCCUGCCAUGAUCUCCCCACGACCCAAAAGGUCUCGUGUGAACUGAACACUCUGCCCACUCCUUUCCCCUGGUCCCUGUGGCCCAGCCACUGGGGCCAUCUUGCUGUUCCUGGAACACGCCAGGCACACUUCUUCUCAGGGUCUUUACUCUGGUUUUGCCCUCAGCCCAGUCCCUCUCUUGCUCCAGCAUCCACAUACUCUAUCCAUCAUCCACCUGGCUCUCUGAUCAAUGUCACUUCCUCCUAAGGUUUCCUUGAGCACCUAUCUCAGACUACCCAUGGCCACUUUCUGUGCUCACCUCCACAGUCCUCAUCAGCCUGCCAUUGCUUUCUCGUCCCUGACCCGCCCUGGAAAUGUGGGCUCCAUGACAGCAGGGCUCUGCCUGUCUCAUUCACCAUUAUGUCCUCACCAUCCGGGCUCCUAGUAUCUGGCAGGUGUCAUUACAUGUCUGUUCAGGGACCAAAUGAAUGAGUGCUGGAUGCCCUGGGUGCCUGUAACUGGGGAACCUGCUGUAGUCUGGAGGGCUCAGGGCCGCUUCUUGAGGAUGGGUCAUUUGAGCUGAGCUCUAAAGGAAGAGAAGGGAUUACCCAGAUGAGGGGGUGGGGCAGAGGCAACAUUACAGGCAGCAUCAUCUGCUUGUGGGAGGAUCCUGACCAGGAUGGAGACUGACACAGUGAGGGACAGAAAAUCAGUAAGAGGGGCAAUCGCCUCUUCAUCAGAACAACCCUUAUGGGGACAAGAAGCCUCUACUGUGAGGGAGGCGGAGCCCGCGGCAAGCUGCUGGAUCACAGUCUGGAGAGAGGUGCUGGGGCAUCACACGCUGGCCAGAGUCUUCCAUGACCCCCUCCCCGCUCUGGUGUUCUACCGGACUGUCAAUGCCUGUGGAUGAUUACAGAGACCAGAGAAGGAAUCCCCUGGAUGGCAGUUUCAGAAGCUGGAAUCUGCAAGACUUAUGUGGGACACAGGCCAAUCCGAGCAAGGAUGAGCUCCUUAAGCAGAAAUCAAGUGGCCAUGAAUUUGGUGGCCUUUCUCUACUUUUUAACAACCAUGCCCCAUUAAAAACGGUCAUCAUGGGUUGCAAACCAGUGUGAAGGUACUUAAUGCUACAAAACGGCACACUUUAAAACCGCUCAAAAUGGUACAUUUUAUGUUAUGUGCAACAUAAACACGAAAAAUGUAGUCCACGGAAACAACCAACUACUGAAGCUUUCACUUCUCCUACAAAUGCCUGCGAAGUGGUCGUCUUCCAGCCUCAGGUUGAACAUAUAUAGCAACAGGUGAGUCACUGCCAUGGCCACAGAAGAUGCCAUCUUUUCUAUUGCUGUUAAAAACUUCUUGGAAUACAAUCAAAUUGGUCAGGGACUUCCCUGGUGGUCCAGUGGUUAAAAAUCUGCCUGCCAAUGCAGGACGCCCAGGUUUGAUCCCUAAUCUGGGAAGUUCCCACAUGCUGUGCACCACUACUACUGAGCGCUAGAGCCCAUAUUCCGAAACAAAAGAAGCCACUACAGUGAGAAGCCUGCAGACUGCAGCUAGA